AAGUGGGAUGACGUCAAGUCAGCAUGGCCUUUAUAUCCCUGGGCUACACACACGCUACAAUGGGAAGGGACAAUAGGUUGCGAAGCCGCGAGCGGAGCCAAUCCAGCAAAACUUCCCUCAGUUCAGAUUGCAGGCUGCAACCCGCCUGCAUGAAGUUGGAGUUGCUAGUAAACGCAGGUCAGCCAUACUGCGUUGAAUACGUUCCCGGGGCUU
Molecule: ribosomal RNA, 213 nt
Filed under: uncultured Anaerolineaceae bacterium
Lineage: Bacteria; Bacillati; Chloroflexota; Anaerolineae; Anaerolineales; Anaerolineaceae
Description: partial 16S ribosomal RNA
Rfam family: Bacterial small subunit ribosomal RNA
Source: RNAcentral